This 594-nucleotide ribosomal RNA is filed under the name uncultured bacterium. Its description in RNAcentral is "bacterial SSU rRNA". It matches the Rfam family "Bacterial small subunit ribosomal RNA", at positions 338 to 950 of the family's 1533-position model. The record is from RNAcentral.
CCUACGGGAGGCAGCAGUGGGGAAUCUUGCACAAUGGGCGAAAGCCUGAUGCAGCAACGCCGCGUGCGGGAAGAAGGCCCUAGGGUUGUAAACCGCUUUCAGUAGGGAAGAAAAUGAUGGUACCUACAGAAGAAGGUGCGGCCAACUACGUGCCAGCAGCCGCGGUGACACGUAGGCACCAAGCGUUAUCCGGAUUUAUUGGGCGUAAAGAGCUCGUAGGCGGUUCGGUAAGUCGGGUGUGAAACUCUGGGCUCAACCCAGAGAGGCCACCCGAUACUGCUGUGACUAGAGUGCGGUAGGGGAGCGGGGAAUUCCUGGUGUAGCGGUGAAAUGCGCAGAUAUCAGGAGGAACACCAGCGGCGAAGGCGCCGCUCUGGGCCGUAACUGACGCUGAGGAGCGAAAGCAUGGGUAGCAAACAGGAUUAGAUACCCUGGUAGUCCAUGCCGUAAACGUUGGGCACUAGGUGUGGGUCUCAACCAACGAGAUCCGCGCCGUCGCUAACGCAUUAAGUGCCCCGCCUGGGGAGUCGGUCGCAAGCUAAACUCAAAUGAAAUUGACGGCUGAGACGUGCGAGGACGACGACGAGGGAGAGG